Molecule: ribosomal RNA, 492 nt
Filed under: uncultured bacterium
Lineage: Bacteria
Description: partial 16S ribosomal RNA
Rfam family: Bacterial small subunit ribosomal RNA
Source: RNAcentral
AGUGAACGCUGGCGGUAGGCCUAACACAUGCAAGUCGAACGGCAGCACAGUAAGAGCUUGCUCUUACGGGUGGCGAGUGGCGGACGGGUGAGGAAUACAUCGGAAUCUACUUUUUCGUGGGGGAUAACGUAGGGAAACUUACGCUAAUACCGCAUACGACCUACGGGUGAAAGCAGGGGAUCUUCGGACCUUGCGCGAAUGAAUGAGCCGAUGUCGGUUUAGCUAGUUGGCGGGGUAAAGGCCCACCAAGGCGACGAUCCGUAGCUGGUCUGAGAGGAUGAUCAGCCACACUGGAACUGAGACACGGUCCAGACUCCUACGGGAGACAGCAGUGGGGAAUAUUGGACAAUGGGCGCAAGCCUGAUCCAGCCAUACCGCAUGAGUGAAGAAGACCUUCGGGUUGUAAAGCCCUUUUAUUGGGAAAGAAAAGCAGCAGGUUAAUACCCCGCUGUUCUGACGGUACCCAAAGAAUAAGCACCGGCUAACUUCGUG